AGGAUGGACGCUAGCGACAGGCCUAACACAUGCAAGUCGAGGGGCAGCACAAGGAGCAAUCUGAGGUGGCGACCGGCGCACGGGUGAGUAACACGUAUGCAACCUGCCUGUAAGCGGGGAAUAACCCGUUGAAAGACGGACUAAUACCGCAUAAUACUAAAUUACUGCAUGGUAAUUUAUUUAAACAUUUAUGGCUUACAGAUGGGCAUGCGCAUGAUUAGCUAGUUGGAGAGGUAACGGCUCCCCAAGGCAACGAUCAUUAGGGGUUCUGAGAGGAAGGUCCCCCACACUGGUACUGAGACACGGACCAGACUCCUACGGGAGGCAGCAGUGAGGAAUAUUGGUCAAUGGACGAGAGUCUGAACCAGCCAAGUCGCGUGCAGGAAGAAUGUCCUUAAUGGAUUGUAAACUGCUUUUGCAGGGGAAUAAAGUGCAUCACGUGUGAUGUUUUGUAUGUACUCUGCGAAUAAGGAUCGGCUAACUCCGUGCCAGCCGCAGC
This 499-nucleotide ribosomal RNA is filed under the name uncultured bacterium. RNAcentral's name for it is "bacterial SSU rRNA". It matches the Rfam family "Bacterial small subunit ribosomal RNA", at positions 26 to 518 of the family's 1533-position model. The record is from RNAcentral.